Molecule: ribosomal RNA, 474 nt
Filed under: uncultured organism
Description: partial 16S ribosomal RNA
Rfam family: Bacterial small subunit ribosomal RNA
Source: RNAcentral
UACACUCCUGCGGGAGGCAGCAGUGGGGAAUUUUGGACAAUGGGCGAAAGCCUGAUCCAGCAAUGCCGCGUGAGUGAAGAAGGCCUUCGGGUUGUAAAGCUCUUUUGUCAGGGAAGAAACGGUGAAAGCUAAUAUCUUUUGCUAAUGACGGUACCUGAAGAAUAAGCACCGGCUAACUACGUGCCAGCAGCCGCGGUAAUACGUAGGGUGCAAGCGUUAAUCGGAAUUACUGGGCGUAAAGCGUGCGCAGGCGGUUUUGUAAGUCUGAUGUGAAAUCCCCGGGCUCAACCUGGGAAUUGCAUUGGAGACUGCAAGGCUAGAAUCUGGCAGAGGGGGGUAGAAUUCCACGUGUAGCAGUGAAAUGCGUAGAUAUGUGGAGGAACACCGAUGGCGAAGGCAGCCCCCUGGGUCAAGAUUGACGCUCAUGCACGAAAGCGUGGGGAGCAAACAGGAUUAGAUACCCGUGUAGUCCCA